GAUCAUUACCGAGUGAGGGCCCUCUGGGUCCAACCUCCCACCCGUGUUUAUUUUACCUUGUUGCUUCGGCGGGCCCGCCUUAACUGGCCGCCGGGGGGCUUACGCCCCCGGGCCCGCGCCCGCCGAAGACACCCUCGAACUCUGUCUGAAGAUUGAAGUCUGAGUGAAAAUAUAAAUUAUUUAAAACUUUCAACAACGGAUCUCUUGGUUCCGGCAUCGAUGAAGAACGCAGCGAAAUGCGAUACGUAAUGUGAAUUGCAAAUUCAGUGAAUCAUCGAGUCUUUGAACGCACAUUGCGCCCCCUGGUAUUCCGGGGGGCAUGCCUGUCCGAGCGUCAUUGCUGCCCUCAAGCCCGGCUUGUGUGUUGGGCCCCGUCCCCCGAUCUCCGGGGGACGGGCCCGAAAGGCAGCGGCGGCACCGCGUCCGGUCCUCGAGCGUAUGGGGCUUUGUCACCCGCUCUGUAGGCCCGGCCGGCGCUUGCCGAUCAACCCAAAUUUUUAUCCAGGUUGACCUCGGAUCAGGUAGGGAUACCCGCUGAACUUAAGCAUAUCAAUA
This 555-nucleotide ribosomal RNA is filed under the name Penicillium crustosum. RNAcentral's name for it is "eukaryotic LSU rRNA". The stretch from base 185 to 337 matches the Rfam family "5.8S ribosomal RNA". The record is from RNAcentral. Lineage: Eukaryota; Fungi; Ascomycota; Eurotiomycetes; Eurotiales; Aspergillaceae.